CUACGGAGGGUGCAAGCGUUACUCGGAAUCACUGGGCGUAAAGCGCGCGCAGGCGGCUAUUUAAGUUGGAUGUGUAAGCCUACGGCUCAACCGUAGAACUGCAUCCAAAACUAUUUAGCUAGAGUGUGGGAGAGGAAGAUGGAAUUAGUUGUGUAGGGGUAAAAUCCGUAGAGAUAACUAGGAAUACCAAAAGCGAAGGAAAUCUUCUGGAACACAACUGACGCUGAGGCGCGGAAGCGUGGGGAGCAAACAGGAUUAGAAACCCUAGUAGUCC
This 274-nucleotide ribosomal RNA is filed under the name uncultured bacterium. Its description in RNAcentral is "partial 16S ribosomal RNA". It matches the Rfam family "Bacterial small subunit ribosomal RNA", at positions 523 to 796 of the family's 1533-position model. The record is from RNAcentral.